Long non-coding RNA from Quercus robur (English oak), 923 nucleotides. RefSeq lists it as uncharacterized. Lineage: Eukaryota; Viridiplantae; Streptophyta; Magnoliopsida; Fagales; Fagaceae. The record is from RefSeq and is a predicted model, not a curated record. The transcript is spliced from 5 exons.
ACCAAACCGAUACCCAAAUUUUUGUUCUCCUUCCCCAAACCCUAAACCUCUUCUUACACACCGCCUCUUUGUUCUCUAUUUCUCUCCCUCAUCUCUCUUCUCUACCCUUUCAACCUCUGAUUUGUUUUUCAAUCAAACCCGUUAAAACCCUAAACAUUAGAGUACUAAUUAGCCCAAUUACGUUCUUUUCUUUUCUAUUUUUUUUUUUUUUUUGUUGAAUCACUGCUAUGAUCUAAAUUAAUUCUUUGCUUCUUGCAUAUUUCAUUGACAGGUCAAUCACGUAGCCACUGAAUCAUCAUCACCAACAUUGAUCGUUCGUGCUAAUUUUUCUAUUAUAUACUAUCCUUUGUGAUGAAGCAGAGGGUAAAAGUGAAUGUUGCCCCAAAAUCUCCCGGUUCAAUUUCUCAAGAACUCCUUGGGAAACACCAUAGAAGAUCAAAUUCUACCUAUGCUUUGUCUCUUUGUGUUUUGAGGUACAGAGCUACAGCCAUGCUUAGCAUGCCAUCAACCUCAUUGAAAUUUAUGUUGCAUAAAGGAUAUAAGAAAGUUGUGUUGUUUUCACCUUGCAAUGGCAAAGACAAGAUUUAGCAAAAUAAGUACAGCCUCCAAAGUUUUAUUCAGCAUAAAUAUAAUCAGGAUGAGAUUUUGAUUGGUUUCUCAUGUCAGGUGGUUUCUUUUACCCAAAUUUGUGUUGUGGACUUUUAUUAUUGCCCAUAAUCCAUCCUAUGAUCCUUGCUUGACACUUGAGGUUAGAAGAAAAGGAGAGAGCCCCCCUUUUUAAAAUUUUUUAUUUAUUAUGUAGCUAUUUUCAACCAAACAAGACUUGGUUUUUGGGCAUUAAUUGUAAGGCCAUGAAAGUUCUUAAAUUGAAGGAUUUACAUUGGCAACUGCUUAUUCUUAACUUAAAUUUGUUAAGAUUCUCA